RNAcentral lists this ribosomal RNA (322 nucleotides) under uncultured bacterium. RNAcentral describes it as "bacterial SSU rRNA". It matches the Rfam family "Bacterial small subunit ribosomal RNA", at positions 152 to 468 of the family's 1533-position model. The record is from RNAcentral.
GGAAACAGGUGCUAAUACCGUAUAUCUGUAAGGAUCGCAUGAUCUUUAGAUGAGAGAUGGUUCUGCUAUCGCUUUUAGAUGGACCCGCGGCGUAUUAACUAGUUGGUGGGGUAACGGCCUACCAAGGUGAUGAUACGUAGCCGAACUGAGAGGUUGAUCGGCCACAUUGGGACUGAGACACGGCCCAAACUCCUACGGGAGGCAGCAGUAGGGAAUCUUCCACAAUGGACGCAAGUCUGAUGGAGCAACGCCGCGUGAGUGAAGAAGGUCUUCGGAUCGUAAAACUCUGUUGUUAGAGAAGAACACGAGUGAGAGUAACUGU